UACGUAGGGUGCGAGCGUUGUCCGGAAUUAUUGGGCGUAAAGGGCUCGUAGGCGGUCUGUCGCGUCGGGAGUGAAAACUCAGGGCUUAACCCUGAGCCUGCUUCCGAUACGGGCAGACUAGAGGUAUGCAGGGGAGAACGGAAUUCCUGGUGUAGCGGUGGAAUGCGCAGAUAUCAGGAGGAACACCGGUGGCGAAGGCGGGUCUCUGGACAGUUCCUGACACUGAGGCACGAAGGCCAGGGGAGCAAACGGG
This 253-nucleotide ribosomal RNA is filed under the name uncultured bacterium. RNAcentral's name for it is "partial 16S ribosomal RNA". It matches the Rfam family "Bacterial small subunit ribosomal RNA", at positions 524 to 776 of the family's 1533-position model. The record is from RNAcentral.